GUUUUUCCCUCUUUCUCCCAGGUUCCUCCGGUUUAGGCUCAGCUAGCAGCAUCCAGGCAGCUGUUCGGCAGCUGGAGGCUGAGGCUGAUGCCAUUAUACAAAUGGUACGUGAGGGUCAAAGGGCGCGGAGACAGCAACAAGCAGCAACGUCGGAGUCCAGCCAGUCUGAGGCAUCUGUCCGGAGAGAGGAGUCACCCAUGGAUGUGGACCAGCCAUCUCCCAAUACUCAAGAUACUCAGUCCAUUGGUCAGUACUACUUUGCUUCUAGCUCAGCAAAAGGGAAAGUUAGAGAAGGUCUAAUGAAUCCCCUGCUCCCAAAAUCUAUAUGCUAACAGAUAUUAACACCAAAGCAUAUUGAAAUUUCUGUGAAAAAGAAACAUGGGAUGGGAAGGGAGCUGGAGUUCAGUGGUUAAGAACACCAGCUGCGCCCGGUGUGGUGGUGCAUGCCUUUAAUCCCAGCACUUGGGAAGCAGAGGCAGGUGGGGCUCUGUGAGUUCCAGGCCAGCUGGGGUUACAGGGAGACCCUGUCUCAAAAAGACCAAAAAAAGAAAAAAAACCAUCAGCUGCCCUUUGCAAAUGACCUGGGUUCAGUCACCAACACCCACACACUGGCUAACAACCAUCCAUAGCUCCAGUUCCAGGGAAUCUGCCUCUUCUGGCCUCCACAGGUUUCAUGCACUGGUGUACAUGCAGGCAAAACACUUAAGCACAUAAUAGAAAAAUAAGUAAAUUGAAAUAAUUUUUUUUAAUACACUAGGUGUGGUAACACAUACCUAUAAUCCCAGCACUUGGGGGCUAAAACAGGAU
Molecule: long non-coding RNA, 807 nt
Filed under: Nannospalax galili (Upper Galilee mountains blind mole rat)
Lineage: Eukaryota; Metazoa; Chordata; Mammalia; Rodentia; Spalacidae
Description: lncRNA (ENSNGAG00000024403.1)
Source: RNAcentral